UGGGGAAUAUUGCACAAUGGGGGAAACCCUGAUGCAGCAACGCCGCGUGAGUGAUGACGGCCUUCGGGUUGUAAAGCUCUGUCUUCAGGGACGAUAAUGACGGUACCUGAGGAGGAAGCCACGGCUAACUACGUGCCAGCAGCCGCGGUAAUACGUAGGUGGCAAGCGUUGUCCGGAUUUACUGGGCGUAAAGGGAGCGUAGGCGGACUUUUAAGUGAGAUGUGAAAUACCCGGGCUCAACCUGGGUGCUGCAUUUCAAACUGGAAGUCUAGAGUGCAGGAGAGGAGAGUGGAAUUCCUAGUGUAGCGGUGAAAUGCGUAGAGAUUAGGAAGAACACCAGUGGCGAAGGCGACUCUCUGAACUGUAACUGACGCUGAGGCUCGAAAGCGUGGGGAGCAAGCA
This 402-nucleotide ribosomal RNA is filed under the name uncultured bacterium. RNAcentral's name for it is "bacterial SSU rRNA". It matches the Rfam family "Bacterial small subunit ribosomal RNA", at positions 355 to 774 of the family's 1533-position model. The record is from RNAcentral.